Molecule: small nucleolar RNA, 130 nt
Organism: Echinops telfairi (small Madagascar hedgehog)
Lineage: Eukaryota; Metazoa; Chordata; Mammalia; Afrosoricida; Tenrecidae
Source: Ensembl
ACCCCCAGUGAUUUGCUGCUAUUAUCUGUCAGUGAUGUGAGCAGUUAUACGCAUGGGACAAAAUACACGAGACUCUUGCAAAUUGAGAUGAAAGUAAUCAUUUUCUCUCUUCUGUGUGGUCUGGACAUUG